ACUCAGGUGUUGUUGGGUAGGGGAGCGUUCUGUAAGUCUGCGAAGGUGGCCUGUGAGGGUUGCUGGAGGUAUCAGAAGUGCGAAUGCUGACAUAAGUAACGAUAAAGCGGGUGAAAAGCCCGCUCGCCGGAAGACCAAGGGUUCCUGUCCAACGUUAAUCGGGGCAGGGUGAGUCGACCCCUAAGGCGAGGCCGAAAGGCGUAGUCGAUGGGAAACGGGUUAAUAUUCCCGUACUUGGUGUUACUGCGAAGGGGGGACGGAGAAGGCUAUGUUGGCCGGGCGACGGUU
RNAcentral lists this ribosomal RNA (288 nucleotides) under Salmonella enterica subsp. enterica serovar Infantis. RNAcentral's name for it is "partial 23S ribosomal RNA". It matches the Rfam family "Bacterial large subunit ribosomal RNA", at positions 1211 to 1503 of the family's 2925-position model. Lineage: Bacteria; Pseudomonadati; Pseudomonadota; Gammaproteobacteria; Enterobacterales; Enterobacteriaceae. The record is from RNAcentral.